This 715-nucleotide long non-coding RNA is filed under the name Androctonus crassicauda. The record is from RNAcentral. Lineage: Eukaryota; Metazoa; Arthropoda; Arachnida; Scorpiones; Buthidae.
AAGGUCUUGGGUCGCAGUAAGGACGCUAAAGGUCAGCACUUAAUGGUUGAUCUUGCUUUGACAAAGGCCAUUAAGGCAGCCAAUUUUAAGGCAUAUUCUGGGGUCGAUCAGGGGACGUUUAAGGUGCUCUCAGAUCCCAAUUCUAGAUCGGGGAGACCGAUUGCUUUGGUGAUUGCUCCUGCAAAGGGGCAAGAACUGGCCAGGUUCUCUGGCAGGGAUGAGACUUCUGGGGAUACCUUUGUGAGAACUGGUCGGGUUCUCUGGCAGGGAUGAGGCUUCUGGGGGUACCUUUGGCCCUUCUGAUGCCCAGUUAAUGGAAGAGGGCAUGGACUUUUUCCCACUUUAGAUGUCUCUUUGGAUAUGGUCUGAGGCUGAUCCAAAUCAACCUCCACCACUCCUGAGCUGCUUCCGCCCUUUUGAGUUGGCUGCUCAUGGGAGCCGUUAUGACCUUGCUCUCAUUCAAGAGCCUUGGUACUAUGAAGGCCGAAUUUGGGGGUUUCCCAGUAAGGAAGAUGAGUUGUUUUAUUUUACAUCUUGUACUUCUGGUAAUGGUCCUCGGACCUGUGUUUUUGUUAGGAAUAACAUUUGUGCUUCACCUGUUUGGGAUUUCUGUUCUAGAGAUCUUAACACUGUGCAGAUAAAGCUCGAGGAGGAAGUGCUUGCAGGGAAUUUAUUAUUUCCUCUGCUUAUUUCUUAUAUUAAAGAUGAACUUCUA